RNA transcript from Carya illinoinensis, 715 nucleotides. It is a transcript of the gene named succinate--CoA ligase [ADP-forming] subunit beta, mitochondrial-like, with no coding region annotated. The record is from RefSeq and is a predicted model, not a curated record. The transcript has 6 exons. NCBI's taxonomy places the organism in Eukaryota, Viridiplantae, Streptophyta, Magnoliopsida, Fagales, Juglandaceae.
UCUCCUCUUCAAUUCUGAUUCUCCUUCCUCUCCCUCCUGACCUCUCGCUCACUCUCUCUCUCUAAAUCAACUUCAUCUUCCGUCUAGAUCUCUCUUUUUGUCCCUCUGUUUAAAUGGUCUCGACAGCAGACUGCAGUUCUUUCUCUUAACCCAUUUUCGGCCCUCCAUUUUUUAUCUUGAGGAGUUAAGAAUCAAGAUCAUGGAGCUUCUUAUGUUAAACAUGGUUUUCGGAGGCAACUGGAAAUGCAACUGUUGGGUUCGCAAAGGUGGUGCUUUUACUGGAGAUGUUAGGGGGCUGAAUUGAUGAGCAAAUAUGGGAUCGAUGUUCCAAAAGGCGUUGCAGUUUUUUCUGGUGAUUAUGUGAAAAAGGCAAUUCGGGAUGUAUUUCCCAAUCAAAGUGAGUUGGUGGUCAAAAGCCAAAUUUUGGCUGGUGGGAGAGGCUUGGGAACAUUCAAAAGUGGUCUCAAGGGUGGAGUUCAUAUUGUUAAGGCUGAUCAGGUUGAAGAGAUAGACGCUUCCAUUUCAAUGCAUGGAAAAUAUUCACAAAUUCAAUAGCUGGCACACAUACAAAAGGAAAAAAAUAAGAGGAAAUGGGACUGUUGUUUUUUCAAAUUGUAACUUAUUAUAAUGUUUUAUUAUUAUAAUGUAUAAGAAAAGACAAUACUAUCCCUGCCUAGACUCAACUUAUAUAAUUUGGCACUGUUUUUCUUCAAAA